This 431-nucleotide ribosomal RNA is filed under the name Bacillus sp. (in: firmicutes). RNAcentral's name for it is "bacterial SSU rRNA". It matches the Rfam family "Bacterial small subunit ribosomal RNA", at positions 21 to 440 of the family's 1533-position model. Lineage: Bacteria; Bacillati; Bacillota; Bacilli; Caryophanales; Bacillaceae. The record is from RNAcentral.
GGCUCAGGAUGAACGCUGGCGGCGUGCCUAAUACAUGCAAGUCGAGCGAAUGGAUUAAGAGCUUGCUCUUAUGAAGUUAGCGGCGGACGGGUGAGUAACACGUGGGUAACCUGCCCAUAAGACUGGGAUAACUCCGGGAAACCGGGGCUAAUACCGGAUAACAUUUUGAACUGCAUGGUUCGAAAUUGAAAGGCGGCUUCGGCUGUCACUUAUGGAUGGACCCGCGUCGCAUUAGCUAGUUGGUGAGGUAACGGCUCACCAAGGCAACGAUGCGUAGCCGACCUGAGAGGGUGAUCGGCCACACUGGGACUGAGACACGGCCCAGACUCCUACGGGAGGCAGCAGUAGGGAAUCUUCCGCAAUGGACGAAAGUCUGACGGAGCAACGCCGCGUGAGUGAUGAAGGCUUUCGGGUCGUAAAACUCUGUUGUU